Molecule: ribosomal RNA, 236 nt
Filed under: Enterobacter hormaechei subsp. steigerwaltii
Lineage: Bacteria; Pseudomonadati; Pseudomonadota; Gammaproteobacteria; Enterobacterales; Enterobacteriaceae
Description: partial 23S ribosomal RNA
Rfam family: Bacterial large subunit ribosomal RNA
Source: RNAcentral
CCCUUGACCCGGCGAUGUCCGAAUGGGGAAACCCAGUGCAAUCCGUUGCACUAUCGUUAACUGAAUACAUAGGUUAACGAGGCGAACCGGGGGAACUGAAACAUCUAAGUACCCCGAGGAAAAGAAAUCAACCGAGAUUCCCCCAGUAGCGGCGAGCGAACGGGGAGCAGCCCGGAGUCUGAAUCAGCUUGUGUGUUAGUGGAACGGUCUGGAAAGUCCGACGGUACAGGGUGAUA